RNAcentral lists this ribosomal RNA (252 nucleotides) under uncultured Bacteroidales bacterium. RNAcentral describes it as "partial 16S ribosomal RNA". It matches the Rfam family "Bacterial small subunit ribosomal RNA", at positions 524 to 776 of the family's 1533-position model. Lineage: Bacteria; Pseudomonadati; Bacteroidota; Bacteroidia; Bacteroidales. The record is from RNAcentral.
UACGGGGGAUGCAAGCGUUAUCCGGAUUUAUUGGGUUUAAAGGGUGCGUAGGCGGAACAUUAAGUCAGCGGUAAAAUCGAGGGGCUCAACCCCUUUAAGCCGUUGAAACUGGUGAUCUUGAGUGGGCGAGAAGUAUGCGGAAUGCGUGGUGUAGCGGUGAAAUGCAUAGAUAUCGCGCAGAACUCCGAUUGCGAAGGCAGCGUACCGGCGCCAGACUGACGCUGAGGCACGAAAGCGUGGGGAGCAAAUAGG